RNAcentral lists this ribosomal RNA (536 nucleotides) under uncultured bacterium. RNAcentral's name for it is "bacterial SSU rRNA". It matches the Rfam family "Bacterial small subunit ribosomal RNA", at positions 96 to 650 of the family's 1533-position model. The record is from RNAcentral.
UGGCGGACGGGUGAGUAACGCGUGGGUAACCUGCCUUGUACUGGGGGAUAGCAGCUGGAAACGGCUGGUAAUACCGCAUAAGCGCACAAUGUUGCAUGACAUGGUGUGAAAAACUCCGGUGGUAUAAGAUGGACCCGCGUCUGAUUAGCUAGUUGGUGAGAUAACAGCCCACCAAGGCGACGAUCAGUAGCCGACCUGAGAGGGUGACCGGCCACAUUGGGACUGAGACACGGCCCAGGCUCCUACGGGAGGCAGCAGUGGGGAAUAUUGCACAAUGGAGGAAACUCUGAUGCAGCGACGCCGCGUGAGUGAAGAAGUAAUUCGUUAUGUAAAGCUCUAUCAGCAGGGAAGAUAGUGACGGUACCUGACUAAGAAGCUCCGGCUAAAUACGUGCCAGCAGCCGCGGUAAUACGUAUGGAGCAAGCGUUAUCCGGAUUUACUGGGUGUAAAGGGAGUGUAGGUGGCCAUGCAAGUCAGAAGUGAAAAUCCGGGGCUCAACCCCGGAACUGCUUUUGAAACUGUAAGGCUGGAGUGCA